AAUAUAUUGGUGUAAAGCACGGAAAAUUUUGGUUUUUCAGGAUUUAGUUUUAUUCUAUAAUAUAUUU
RNAcentral lists this transfer RNA (67 nucleotides) under Dipseudopsis sp. XG-2021. RNAcentral's name for it is "tRNA-Gln". The record is from RNAcentral. Lineage: Eukaryota; Metazoa; Arthropoda; Insecta; Trichoptera; Dipseudopsidae.